ACACCGUUGGUGAAGUGGUUAUCAUGCUUGCCUUCCAUUAUGGUUGGAGUAGUCAAAAUCCGUAGCAAGCGGCUCGGGUUCGAUUCCCGAACGGUGUA
Marasmius tenuissimus is the source of this 98-nucleotide non-coding RNA. NCBI's taxonomy places the organism in Eukaryota, Fungi, Basidiomycota, Agaricomycetes, Agaricales, Marasmiaceae. The record is from the annotation of a GenBank genome assembly.